Molecule: ribosomal RNA, 447 nt
Filed under: uncultured bacterium
Lineage: Bacteria
Description: bacterial SSU rRNA
Rfam family: Bacterial small subunit ribosomal RNA
Source: RNAcentral
UAACACAUGCAAGUCGAACGAACCGCGGAGGGCUUGCUCUCCAAGGUUAGUGGCGAACGGGUGCGUAACACGUGAGAAACGUACCCACCGGUGGGGGAUAGCCGGCCCAACGGCCGGGUAAUACCGCAUGCGACGUCUUCCGGGCAUCCGGAGGGCGGGAAAGCAGCAAUGCGCCGGUGGAGCGUCUCGCGUCCUAUCAGCUUGUUGGUGAGGUAAUGGCUCACCAAGGCUACGACGGGUAGCUGGUCUGAGAGGAUGACCAGCCACAUUGGGACUGAGACACGGCCCAGACUCCUACGGGAGGCAGCAGUGGGGAAUAUUGCGCAAUGGCCGAAAGGCUGACGCAGCGACGCCGCGUGCGGGAUGAAGGCCCUCGGGUCGUAAACCGCUGUCAGGAGGGACGAAACUCUGACGGUACCUCCAGAGGAAGCACCGGCUAACUCCGUG